This 76-nucleotide transfer RNA is filed under the name Schistocephalus solidus. It matches the Rfam family "tRNA". Rfam says of the family: Transfer RNA (tRNA) molecules are approximately 80 nucleotides in length. Their secondary structure includes four short double-helical elements and three loops (D, anti-codon, and T loops). Lineage: Eukaryota; Metazoa; Platyhelminthes; Cestoda; Diphyllobothriidea; Diphyllobothriidae. The record is from Rfam by way of RNAcentral.
GAGCCCGUGGCUCAAUUGUUAGAGCGUUGGACUCGUGACCAAAAUGGUCGCAGGUUCGAGCUUCCUGUUGGGCACC